GGGAAUGUGGCUCAUUGGUAGAGUGCUUGCCUAGCAUGCAUGAAGCCCUGGGUUCAAUUCCUCAGUACCA
This 70-nucleotide transfer RNA is filed under the name Dipodomys ordii (Ord's kangaroo rat). It matches the Rfam family "tRNA". From Rfam's summary of the family: Transfer RNA (tRNA) molecules are approximately 80 nucleotides in length. Lineage: Eukaryota; Metazoa; Chordata; Mammalia; Rodentia; Heteromyidae. The record is from Rfam by way of RNAcentral.